GUUUCGAUCUGAAUAAUUGAGGAGCGAUUCAGCAGCAGCCGCUGCCUCCUGCCUUCCUUUAUCACCACCACCGCCUCCAUCUCAGCUGUAAGUGCAGACCGCCGGACAUUAGCAUCCAAUCCAGACCAUCACCUCCAGCCCCUCUGAGGUUCAUGCCCAAGACCAGGCUGCCGUGGCUCCCACUGGGCCUUUCUUAAAGGGACAAGCACUAAUUGCUCCAUGAGUUCCAGAAUCAUCCACUGAGGCUUCCAUAGUCCUUUUCCAUCCGCAAGCCUUCACUGCAACGCUACUGUUCAAGAUGAGUGGCUUUCUGUCCUCACUGGACCCCCGGCGGGUACAGUGGGGGGCUGCCUGGUAUGCAAUGCACUCUCGGAUCCUGCGCACCAAGCCGGUGGAGUCCAUGCUGGAAGGAACUGGGGCCACCUCAGCGCACGGUACCAAGCUAGCCCAGGUGCUCACCACUGUAGACCUCAUCUCUCUCGGAGUCGGCAGCUGUGUGGGCACGGGCAUGUAUGUGGUGUCUGGCCUGGUG
RNAcentral lists this long non-coding RNA (532 nucleotides) under Rattus norvegicus (Norway rat). Its description in RNAcentral is "long non-coding RNA NONRATT015199". The record is from RNAcentral. Lineage: Eukaryota; Metazoa; Chordata; Mammalia; Rodentia; Muridae.